AUUGAACGCUGGCGGUAUGCUUAACACAUGCAAGUCGAACGGUAACAGGGUCUAGCUUGCUAGACUGCUGACGAGUGGCGGACGGGUGAGUAACGCGUAGGAAUCUGUCUAAGUGUCUGGGACAACACGGGGAAACUCGUGCUGAUACCGGAUAAUCUUUGCGAAGGAAAGAUGGGGUUUACCCUGUCGCACAUAGGUGAGCCUGCGUUAGAUUAGCUAGUUGGUGGGGUAAAGGCCUACCAAGGCGACGAUCUAUAGCUGUUCUGAGAGGAAGAUCAGCCACACGGGGACUGAGACACGGCCCAGACUCUUACGGGAGGCAGCAGUGGGGAAUAUUGGACAAUGGGGGCAACCCUGAUCCAGCAAUACCGCGUGUGUGAAGAAGGCCUGAGGGUUGUAAAGCACUUUCGGCGAGGAGGAAGGGUAUAUCCAGAUAUUUUGAUGUUAUCAACAAAAGAAGCACCGGCAAACUCUGUGCCAGCCGCCGCAGUAA
This 493-nucleotide ribosomal RNA is filed under the name uncultured bacterium. Its description in RNAcentral is "partial 16S ribosomal RNA". It matches the Rfam family "Bacterial small subunit ribosomal RNA", at positions 30 to 523 of the family's 1533-position model. The record is from RNAcentral.